GCACUGCUGAGGGGGCCCAAAAUAGGACGAAACGGCCGUCCAGUGC
This is a non-coding RNA of Schistosoma mansoni, 46 nucleotides long. NCBI's taxonomy places the organism in Eukaryota, Metazoa, Platyhelminthes, Trematoda, Strigeidida, Schistosomatidae. The record is from Rfam.